UGGGGAAUUUUGGACAAUGGGCGAAAGCCUGAUCCAGCAAUGCCGCGUGUGUGAAGAAGGCCUUCGGGUUGUAAAGCACUUUUGUCCGGAAAGAAAUCCUUGGCUCUAAUACAGUCGGGGGAUGACGGUACCGGAAGAAUAAGCACCGGCUAACUACGUGCCAGCAGCCGCGGUAAUACGUAGGGUGCAAGCGUUAAUCGGAAUUACUGGGCGUAAAGCGUGCGCAGGCGGUUUGCUAAGACCGAUGUGAAAAUCCCCGGGCUCAACCUGGGAACUGCAUUGGUGACUGGCAGGCUAGAGUAUGGCAGAGGGGGGUAGAAUUCCACGUGUAGCAGUGAAAUGCGUAGAGAUGUGGAGGAAUACCGAUGGCGAAGGCAGCCCCUGGCCAAGUACUGACGCUCAUGCACGAAAGCGUGGGGAGCAAAACAGGAUUAGAUACCCUGGUAGUCCACGCCCUAAAACGAUGUCAACUAGUUGUUGGGGAUUCAUUUCCUUAGUAACGUAGCUAACGCGUGAAGUUGACCGCCU
Molecule: ribosomal RNA, 528 nt
Filed under: uncultured bacterium
Lineage: Bacteria
Description: partial 16S ribosomal RNA
Rfam family: Bacterial small subunit ribosomal RNA
Source: RNAcentral